This is a non-coding RNA of Brachypodium distachyon (stiff brome), 124 nucleotides long. NCBI's taxonomy places the organism in Eukaryota, Viridiplantae, Streptophyta, Magnoliopsida, Poales, Poaceae. The record is from Rfam.
UAUGUACUACCUCCGUUUCAUAAUUCUUGUCUCAAAUUUUUCCCAAAAUGGAUGUAUCUAUUCCUAAAAAGCGUUAGAUACAUGUAAUAUUUCGACAAGAAUUAUGGAACGGAGGGAGUACUAA